GCAGUCGAACGGUAGCACAGAGGAGCUUGCUCCUUGGGUGACGAGUGGCGGACGGGUGAGUAAUGUCUGGGAAACUGCCCGAUGGAGGGGGAUAACUACUGGAAACGGUAGCUAAUACCGCAUAACGUCGCAAGACCAAAGAGGGGGACCUUCGGGCCUCUUGCCAUCGGAUGUGCCCAGAUGGGAUUAGCUAGUAGGUGGGGUAACGGCUCACCUAGGCGACGAUCCCUAGCUGGUCUGAGAGGAUGACCAGCCACACUGGAACUGAGACACGGUCCAGACUCCUACGGGAGGCAGCAGUGGGGAAUAUUGCACAAUGGGCGCAAGCCUGAUGCAGCCAUGCCGCGUGUAUGAAGAAGGCCUUCGGGUUGUAAAGUACUUUCAGCGAGGAGGAAGGCGUUGUGGUUAAUAACCGCAGCGAUUGACGUUACUCGCAGAAGAAGCACCGGCUAACUCCGUGCCAGCAGCCGCGGUAAUACGGAGGGUGCAAGCGUUAAUCGGAAUUACUGGGCGUAAAGCGCACGCAGGCGGUCUGUCAAGUCGGAUGUGAAAUCCCCGGGCUCAACCUGGGAACUGCAUCCGAAACUGGCAGGCUAGAGUCUUGUAGAGGGGGGUAGAAUUCCAGGUGUAGCGGUGAAAUGCGUAGAGAUCUGGA
RNAcentral lists this ribosomal RNA (655 nucleotides) under uncultured bacterium. RNAcentral describes it as "bacterial SSU rRNA". It matches the Rfam family "Bacterial small subunit ribosomal RNA", at positions 57 to 702 of the family's 1533-position model. The record is from RNAcentral.